GAUGAAGAACGUAGCGAAAUGCGAUAAGUAAUGUGAAUUGCAGAAUUCAGUGAAUCAUCGAAUCUUUGAACGCACAUUGCGCCCCUUGGUAUUCCGAGGGGCAUGCCUGUUCGAGCGUCAUAUUAACCACUCCCGCUUGCGGGGUCUUGGGCUUCGCCUCCGGGCGGGCCUUAAAAUCAGUGGCGGUGCCGUCGGGCUCUACGCGUAGUAAAUUUUCUCGCGAUAGGGUCCCGGUGGAUGCUUGCCAACAACCCCCAACUUCUUAAGGUUGACCUCGGAUCAGGUAGGGAUACCCGCUGAACUUAAGCAUAUCAAUAAGCGGAGGAA
RNAcentral lists this unclassified non-coding RNA (327 nucleotides) under soil metagenome. Its description in RNAcentral is "partial contains 5.8S ribosomal RNA, internal transcribed spacer 2, and large subunit ribosomal RNA". The stretch from base 1 to 120 matches the Rfam family "5.8S ribosomal RNA", at positions 35 to 154 of the family's 154-position model. The record is from RNAcentral.